This is a long non-coding RNA of Chinchilla lanigera (long-tailed chinchilla), 411 nucleotides long. RefSeq lists it as uncharacterized. The record is from RefSeq and is a predicted model, not a curated record. The transcript has 3 exons. NCBI's taxonomy places the organism in Eukaryota, Metazoa, Chordata, Mammalia, Rodentia, Chinchillidae.
UUAGAGUUUGAGUGAUGGCAGUUUAGAGGAAAUCAGAAUAUUAGAAGUUUACCCUCAAGGAACAAGUGUAAAGAAUAUCCUACAGAAAAGGUGACAAAUAUAUGCCAUUUCCAUGUUCUCGUCACACACUAGACAGUACUACAGGAGUCAUCUUUCCUGUAGAACCAGUCUCACAGCCCUGCAAGCUUCCUCAUCUGGGAGUCCUUAUCCAUUGACCAGAGUUGGCCUGAGAAAGAAAAUCUGCUUGUUAUCUGUCUUACAAGAGAAAAAACAGUGAUCUGAACUUCUUAUUUCAAGUCAAAAGAGAAUAAAAUCCUGGAACUGAGUCACAAGCUAUCUGCUCAGAUUCUGCAGCGCCAUCACAUAUGCAGUUAUAAGAUGAGAAUUACUACUUUUGAAGCUAAAUUGUCC